This is a non-coding RNA of Paenibacillus wynnii, 169 nucleotides long. Lineage: Bacteria; Bacillati; Bacillota; Bacilli; Caryophanales; Paenibacillaceae. The record is from Rfam.
UCCACUGCGAUACUGAGAUCUGAAGGAACCGGAGGCAAAAAGCACGGGCCAAAGGACACGAACUGGAUUUCAGGCUGUGCAGUAAGAUGGGUCAUCGAAACAUGGCGAAAUCCAAAGCCGCCGAGGGCUGGCAAGGUAAACUCCAGUGGUCGCGGCAUCAGAUGACGUG